This 253-nucleotide ribosomal RNA is filed under the name uncultured prokaryote. RNAcentral describes it as "partial 16S ribosomal RNA". It matches the Rfam family "Bacterial small subunit ribosomal RNA", at positions 524 to 776 of the family's 1533-position model. The record is from RNAcentral.
UACGUAGGGGGCAAGCGUUGUCCGGAAUCAUUGGGCGUAAAGCGCGCGUAGGCGGCCCGGUAAGUCCGCUGUGAAAGUCAAGGGCUCAACCCUUGGAUGCCGGUGGAUACUGUCGGGCUAGAGUCCGGAAGAGGCGAGUGGAAUUCCUGGUGUAGCGGUGAAAUGCGCAGAUAUCAGGAGGAACACCAGUGGCGAAGGCGGUCAUCUGGGGCUGACCUGACGCUGAGGAGCGAAAGCCAGGGGAGCAAACGGG